AAACUUUCAACAACGGAUCUCUUGGCUCUGGCAUCGAUGAAGAACGCAGCGAAAUGCGAUAAGUAAUGUGCAUUGCAGAAUUCAGUGAAUCAUCGAAUCUUUGAACGCACAUUGCGCCCGCCAGCAUUCUGGCGGGCAUGCCUGUUCGAGCGUCAUUUC
This 159-nucleotide ribosomal RNA is filed under the name Cordyceps militaris. Its description in RNAcentral is "5.8S ribosomal RNA". It matches the Rfam family "5.8S ribosomal RNA". Rfam says of the family: 5.8S ribosomal RNA (5.8S rRNA) is a component of the large subunit of the eukaryotic ribosome. It is transcribed by RNA polymerase I as part of the 45S precursor that also contains 18S and 28S rRNA. Functionally, it is thought that 5.8S rRNA may be involved in ribosome translocation. The record is from RNAcentral. Lineage: Eukaryota; Fungi; Ascomycota; Sordariomycetes; Hypocreales; Cordycipitaceae.